CAGUAGCCGCGGUAAUACCGAGGAUGCAAGCGUUAUCCGGAAUGAUUGGGCGUAAAGCGUCUGUAGGUGGCUUUUCAAGUCCGCCGUCAAAUCCCAGGGCUCAACCGUGGACAGGCGGUGGAAACUACCAAGCUGGAGUAUGGUAGGGGCAGAGGGAAUUUCCGGUGGAGCGGUGAAAUGCGUUGAGAUCGGAAAGAACACCAACAGCGAAAUCACUCUGCUAGGCCGACACUGACACUGAGAGACGAAAUCUAGGGGAGCAAAUGGGAUUAGAUACCCGCGUAGUCCCUGUCUCUUAUAC
This 301-nucleotide ribosomal RNA is filed under the name uncultured bacterium. RNAcentral describes it as "partial 16S ribosomal RNA". It matches the Rfam family "Bacterial small subunit ribosomal RNA", at positions 509 to 807 of the family's 1533-position model. The record is from RNAcentral.